This 245-nucleotide ribosomal RNA is filed under the name uncultured delta proteobacterium. RNAcentral's name for it is "partial 16S ribosomal RNA". It matches the Rfam family "Bacterial small subunit ribosomal RNA", at positions 524 to 768 of the family's 1533-position model. Lineage: Bacteria; Deltaproteobacteria. The record is from RNAcentral.
GACGGAGGGUGCGAGCGUUAUUCGGAUUUAUUGGGCGUAAAGAGAGUGUAGGCGGUCGAUCAAGUCUGAUGUGAAAGCCCGGGGCUUAACCUCGGAAGGGCGUUGGAAACUGGUCGACUUGAGUUCGGGAGAGGAAAGCGGAAUUCCGGGUGUAGAGGUGAAAUUCGUAGAUAUCCGGAGGAACACCGGUGGCGAAGGCGGCUUUCUGGACCGAAACUGACGCUGAGACUCGAAAGCGUGGGGAG